RNAcentral lists this ribosomal RNA (253 nucleotides) under uncultured bacterium. RNAcentral describes it as "partial 16S ribosomal RNA". It matches the Rfam family "Bacterial small subunit ribosomal RNA", at positions 525 to 776 of the family's 1533-position model. The record is from RNAcentral.
ACGUAGGGUCCGAGCGUUAUCCGGAAUCAUUGGGCGUAAAGAGCUCGUAGGCGGUUCAGCAAGUCGGCUGUGAAAGUUCGAGGCUCAACCUCGAAAUUGCAGUCGAUACUGCUGUGACUUGAGUCCGGUAGAGGAGAAUGGAAUUCCCGGUGUAGCGGUGAAAUGCGCAGAUAUCGGGAGGAACACCAGUAGCGAAGGCGGUUCUCUGGGCCGGCACUGACGCUGAGGAGCGAAAGCGUGGGGAGCAAACAGG